GGCCGCGUCGCUUUCCCCGGCCCGGCGGGCGCCGCUCUGCUGCGGCAGCGGCGCGGCUCGGCGCGGCUCGGCUCGGCUCGGCUCGCCUCUUCAUGCAGUGAGUGAAAGGCGGCUCUGGUGUUUCCCUAUUCUCGCUGUGAGGCACCCAAGCGCUUGGGGCCCAGGCGGUGCGCGGCCGCCGUUAAGCCGCGGUGCUCCCUUUCAGCUCCGCCGGGCCCUCCUUCAGGGCUUCUGCCUCCACCGUCAGCAUUUUGCGGCGUGGCACGGUGCUGCGCGGGAGGGCUCGGGCAGCGGCGAGGUGAUAACCUCUUCAGGGAUGCGCGUAGGCUAAAUGUAGUGGUGUGCUGACACCCUUCACCCUUUCGAGCAGGGUAAACUCGAAUUGCACUUCUUUCUCCUUCUGUCAGUCCUUUAUUUGACGUCUAAACAAGAAAAAGCCGUGACAAUAGGUACUUCAAAUACGAAAGGAGCAAUUUGUACUGUUAUUAUGAAAACAUUCACAACAGAUGUUAAGGCACCUGGCUUUAAAAGAUACAACAGCUACGAGCACUGAGAUGAUGUGUGCAAGGAAUCAGAAGUGAAGCAAGAAGCUGAUGGAAGCCCAGAGUUAAAAUCUGAACAGGAUGUACCAGAGACCUCUUCAGCAGCAACUGCUGAAAGAUCUACAUUUGAUCUGGAGCAGUUCCAGCAGCGCUUGUAUAUGUAUGCUACCAAGAUGUCUGAGUACACCUACCCUCUCUACAGAGCAAGAUGUUUUUGCAGUGAUUGAUUACAACAUGCAUUUGAACCGGCAAACUGCACAAUCAGCAAAAUCGGUUAAUGCACCAAGACCAGGAGGCUGAUCCCAGCGUCAAGGAUAUAAAUGAGAUUCCUUUGGGUUCAAGGAACUUAUGCUGGUCUGCUAAUUUGCUGCAUGGAAAUACAGAUGGGGCAAGCAAUUGUUUCUUCCUUCUCCUUUGUUAUAG
RNAcentral lists this long non-coding RNA (965 nucleotides) under Apteryx owenii (little spotted kiwi). RNAcentral describes it as "lncRNA (ENSAOWG00000002592.1)". The record is from RNAcentral. Lineage: Eukaryota; Metazoa; Chordata; Aves; Apterygiformes; Apterygidae.